Long non-coding RNA from Bombus huntii, 2714 nucleotides. RefSeq lists it as uncharacterized. Lineage: Eukaryota; Metazoa; Arthropoda; Insecta; Hymenoptera; Apidae. The record is from RefSeq and is a predicted model, not a curated record. The transcript is spliced from 2 exons.
CUCAUAAUCGUUAAAAAUCAUAUAAAUAAAAUUCUCUUUUUAAGUUAAAGAGAGCUGCAAAAUAAUUUUUUGUUAAAUGUCUCUUGAGUCCGCUUCAUUCCCUUAUGUAGAUAUCGUUGCGAGUCUUGUGCCAAUUGACAGAAACAAAGUCAGACUGAUAAACAAGUGAAGUAUUAAAAAAGAAUAAAAAGAUCUCCUUCGAUCCAUUUAGACAAAACGAGAGUAUCGUAACUUACGUACUUACAAAACUGUGCAAUUUUACAAGAAACGUUUUUAUAAAAUUCUAAAAUAUUACAAAAUAUUAUGAUAAAAUCAGGUAAGGUACUUUUUAUGAAAAUAACGGUCAAUUUCGCAUAUUAAUACGAAGCAAUGAAACGUUUAGUUUCACAACAAAGGAAAAACUGUGUAAAAAUAUAGAACGUUUCAUUACGAACCAAAUAUGGAGGAAAAUAACCCGAAAGAACAAAAACCGGUUUCCAUGUAGCGCGGUAAACGAUUGUCAUAUAAAUUAUGGAAAAAGAUAAUUUACAAUUCUGUCCCAUUUAUUUUCGUUGGGGUACGAAAGUUCCCUAAAUCAUUUCGCGCAGCGUUGUUAAUUACCUGGAGGCACCUUCGUAAAUAUAACUGAACAUCUCCCGUGGGUUAAUUGGCGCAACCGUUCCCAAAGGUACGUUAAAAAAAUCGUUAUUUCGGAGUAAACCUCUCAGCGUGGCCACGCCGAAUUUUUAACAUUGAUUUGCAUUCAUAGCGAGGCGCAUAGCCAUUAACCGAGGCAAUUUCAUGGAAUUUAACCUUCAAUCAUAACUUCAUUAACUAGCUGCGGGGAGAAUCGUCGCAUUGCAGCUUACGUAAGGGUGAAGCACUCUCGGUGCCCCUCUUGCAUACCAUUUGUAUAGCUUAUAACAGGUUCAGAUAGCGACGAGUGUGUACUGAAGCGUUGAAUGUUCCCCCUACUCUCUGUGUCCCGUUUUUUAAGUGGCCGAUUUGCCCCCAAACGAGCUUAAAACGAGAGCGAAAGAAAAAGGAAACGAGAGAAAUCGUCAUUGCUAUGGAGCAAAUAUUGCGACACCGUUCCGGUAUACGUCCUCCGUUCCCGUAAGAAGAAUUUACAUGUGUAAAAACGUGAGAAAAGAAGCUUUAAAAAGGGAGAAAGUGAAAACAGACAGCAGAGAACCGCUGAAGUGCUUCUCAACGUGUUAAUGGUUAUAGAUCGUUACUGAAAGAGUUAUUGUGCCAUCCACAGGAGAGAAAUUGCCUGAAAAAGAAACAUUAACAUCACGAUUGUCUGGCUGACACCUGAACACCGAUAAAUGUCGAGUGGAAAGCUUUAAACGCGUUAUCUUUUCUUCACAAAACAAAAGUUAUACUUCAUCUAGUGUCAUUAUUCCAGUUAAAGCUGAUAUAAUCUCAUAUCGUCGAACAGUGACAAUCGCCACUCAUUGAACAAUCGAUUCAAAUAUAUGAUUUGUAAACAAUGCAAAAUGAAAUUAAUACUCAUCGGUCACACUUCGAUACGUUAAAGUGACAAGUGAAAUAGGUUAUGAAACCUAAGAACACAUAGACAUUUGACAUAAAAAAAACUCGAUACUUUCAUAACUCUCGAUAAGAUACUUAAUGUAAUGAAUUAUUAAAAUAUUCAAUUGCAACAGUUUAACUUUAAAGUUAUUUUAUACAACAACAAUCCCGAUUCAUGGUCAAAUCUUUAUAUAACUUCAAUUUCUGCGUUAAUAUUGUAAAACAUUAUUCCAAAGAAUCAUCUAAAACUAUGCCAGUAGAACGUGAAACAGCUCGCAGGCAUACGAUUGCCGCUAUUGUAAAUUUAAGCCAGAGUCGGUGAAUUUAAUAGCGAAUUGCAGAUUGGUUUGUCCCAUAAUCUCAUGGAGUAAUGCAGCGAAUCGCAAUUUGACCAGUGGAAGGCGAACAAUCCACACCGAUUCUAGGUAAAUUGGUGUACGGUUCGUCCUCUAGCAUGUAGGAGCAACGCAACGUCAGGGUGAUACAGACAUGUAGACAUAUGGUGGUGAUCAACCAACUGAGCGAGAGUGUAAAUUUCCGCCUGUAGUACACCUCGAGCGUUUCAAAGCGAUCGGUUCGAACCGGUCAUUGUUUCUUGAGCAAUGUGCAGCAGAACGGGCAAACAGACACACGCCACUUGCCAGGUUAGAGAUAAUAAAAUUUCUUUCGAGAUACAUUUGCAUGAAGGUGCUAAAGAGCGAUCGACUGGUUAUUCUGCCCAACAUCGUUCAACGACAGGCUGUAACGGGUGUGGAUGAUAGCUCAUAUUUUAUCGAAAAUGUGACAGUUCGUCGAUACUGAUUUCCAAAGUGAAAAAAGAAAUUAAAUUAACGAUACCGAGCCGUCCUCAUAAAUAACAGGAUUAUAAAUAAAUCGGAGAGAACUUUGAUAAUAAAUAACAUUCGACAGGAGGAUAAAAAGCGACGCGAACAAUUACAUGAAAAAUUGUACGACAUUUUUCACCUGGUCCUUGGGUAAAUAAUAUUUCUGUCAUGCGUCUACGAACGUUGAAUGAAGAAACCGGAAUAUUGGAAGUACAGUAGUUUAGUCACCCCUAUUUUCCACGCAAUUCGGGGAGACCUUUCACGAUUUUAUAUUUCUUCGAUGCAGGGAACAAGUUUUUCAAUAAACCUCUCCAGGUGGACCAUACUUUUGAUGCAAUCAGAGAUACUCUUCCAAGUUAUGAUUCCCAGACUAGU